This 85-nucleotide transfer RNA is filed under the name Vitreoscilla sp. RNAcentral describes it as "tRNA-Leu". It matches the Rfam family "tRNA". From Rfam's summary of the family: Transfer RNA (tRNA) molecules are approximately 80 nucleotides in length. Their secondary structure includes four short double-helical elements and three loops (D, anti-codon, and T loops). RNAcentral also lists the same sequence under 3 other names. The record is from RNAcentral. Lineage: Bacteria; Pseudomonadati; Pseudomonadota; Betaproteobacteria; Neisseriales; Neisseriaceae.
GCCUCGGUGGCGUAAUCGGUAGCCGCGACGGACUCAAAAUCCGUUCUCGAAAGGGGUGUCGGUUCGAGUCCGACCCGAGGCACCA